AAAUCGGUAACACAUUGGGGAGUAGCCGCCCAGUAUUCAGUAGUGAUAUUGGGGCUUACGUCAACAUUCUUGGAGGCCUCUUUGAGGCAUUCAUGGCGUAAGCAGCACCUGCCUGGCCAGACCGAUGAAUUUCGUUCCGCAGGCUGCGGCGACGGAGUUCAUCGUCAUAGAGCCGCAGCCGUCAGGAGC
This 189-nucleotide small RNA is filed under the name Acidithiobacillus thiooxidans. RNAcentral describes it as "Manganese sequence". It matches the Rfam family "Manganese Mn2+ riboswitch aptamer (yybP-ykoY)". Rfam says of the family: This RNA was originally discovered in E. coli during a large scale screen and was named SraF. The family was later found to exist upstream of related families of protein genes in many bacteria, including the the yybP and ykoK genes in B. subtilis. The record is from RNAcentral. Lineage: Bacteria; Pseudomonadati; Pseudomonadota; Acidithiobacillia; Acidithiobacillales; Acidithiobacillaceae.